Molecule: long non-coding RNA, 1137 nt
Filed under: Vulpes vulpes (red fox)
Lineage: Eukaryota; Metazoa; Chordata; Mammalia; Carnivora; Canidae
Description: lncRNA (ENSVVUG00000025158.1)
Source: RNAcentral
UGAAAACAGUGUGAAACAAUGGAAAACUACCUCUGCAUAAGUUUAAAAAAAAAAAAAAGAGCAAAGCAGUGGUACUCACAGAGAAGACUUUGAAGCUCCUCAUUUAUUAAAUGAGCUACCUGGAGGAAGUUAAAUUGAAUGAAAAAAGCCAGUCUCUGAAGGGCUACAGGAUUUCACCUAUAAACAAGAUUCUGAUACAUGGACAUGAUUAUGGAAUAUAAAUAAGAGGGGAGAGUGAGAGGGAAAGAAGGAAGCAGGAGGAAGGGGGAAAUAGAAUGAAAGAAGGAAAGAAUGAAAGAAAGAAAGUCAACUAGCAGAAACAACAUACUCUAAGCAAGGCCACUUAGACAUUACAUCUCAGAAAAUGCAAAAUACUUUGCACUUUACCUAAAAGAGUGGUAUGAGAAGGAGUUACAUGAUAGAUUCAACGUUGAAGAAUAGCCACUAGACUAAAACAGGUAGGUUACAACUUGUUUCUCAUUGUCAACAAAAGGAGGGGUUUCCCCUUCUUAGAUUAUUGUGUUGUAGAUGCUUAAGAUGUAUAUUUGCGAAUUGUUUUUAUAUCCUUUUAACAAAUUAUAUAUUUCAUAAUACUUAACAGUUCAACCAAGAACUGAAACUUAAGGAUAAACAAGCUUUUAUGUCCUAUAGCUCUUUUUUGUCAUCAUCAAUAAGAUUACCACGGGAUGCUGGCCUCAAAAACAAAUGUAAUUUUUAUGAAAGUGUAUUCAUGGUGUAUUCAUGAUGUUCAUCAGUAAGUAACCUAUUUUGUUCAGAGAUAUCUAAAGGUGUUUAAACUUUUUUCUUCUAUGAGCUAGUAAUUAUGGACUGAUCAUCAGUUAGGCAUUUUUGGAUAUUCUUAUUGAUCUCUUAUUUCUCAAGGACUUUUAUUUACCUCACAAAUUGACUUUGCCCCCUGUGUCUCACUGUUUAUCUUCUUCAUAUUUUAUGCAUCAAGUUCUAAACCCAACAUCAUAAUAGACAAAUGUUGUUAUGAGCCCUGAAGCACUGAAGAUCAAUUAUCAUGUUUUAAUUGUUAUUAUUGGACUAAUUUCAACUGUCCUCUGGGUACAAACAAAUUAAGAUUAAAAAAAAUAGGCUGCAUUCUUUCAAUAACAGAUGUUUUAAAGCUACCAG